CCUUGGGAGCCAGAGAGGAUCUUGAAGGACUGUCCUCAGGGCAAGGAAGGACUAGGGCUGCAGCCCUGUGUAUUUGCAGACUCGCCUGAAACCCUCUCCUAUUCACUCAAAGGACCAUAGUCCCAGGGAAAUGGGAGGCCAAGGAAGUGCACAGACCUACUGGAACUGUCCCUGAGCCCAGGAUAUCUCUGAGGUCCUCACGCAGGCCAGCCUGGCUCCCUGUCAGUGCUUCCCCUGUAACAGGGCACUAGAGAGGCCAGGCAGUGUCAGCCGGACCCUGGAGAACACAGCAGGAGGUUGCGGUGUCUUGGAGAGCCAGGGACCAAGGCCAGAGAGCUGAGCCCGCAGGGAAGCUCCAGGCAGAAACAGGUGAAGGAGCCAUCCAGGGCAGCCUGGAGCUGAAUGCCAAGGCUAGUCCCACAGUGGGCAGGUCUUCCCAAUGCUGCCAGGUUCUCUGAACAGCUGGAAAAUCCCUAAGGGCAACAGGACCUCAGCUCUGGGUGGAGACAUGAGCCCACCGUGUGUGUGAGGCACACACAGGGCCUCAAGGACAUCUGUUCACCGAGGGUUGGCUGAUUCCUCCAGUCCUCAGAUGUGACCAGCCUGCAGGGAGGAGGCUGGUCUAGUCCCGCCGCAGGGUCCACGUGCUCUGUCCGUGGGCAUGAUCCUCUCUGGUGCAGCAACACCCCCACCCCUAGAACCAUAAUCACGGAGGAGCUCCGAGGGGCCCAAGAGCCUCAGCACACCACUAGGUCCUGCAAAGCCCUCGACCUGAGGAGCCAGCACCAGGGUAGGCCCCCGCGAGGGGAGGAGAAGGCAGAGACAGGUGAAGGAGCCGUCCAGGGGAGGAGAAGGCAGAAGCCACAGGGAACCUGAACAACCCGCCCCCACCCUGCCCCCAGCAGUGGCUGCUCCUGGGUGCGAACUCAGACCUGCCUCAGCCCAGUGACUCCAACCUUUGCUGGGAAAGAUGCCACAGAAGAGGUGAUUUCCUUGAACCAAAUCACACUCCAAGAGUGUCCCC
RNAcentral lists this long non-coding RNA (1024 nucleotides) under Marmota monax (woodchuck). Lineage: Eukaryota; Metazoa; Chordata; Mammalia; Rodentia; Sciuridae. The record is from RNAcentral.